GCCUGGGUGGCUCAGUCAGUUAAGCGUCUGACUUCAGCUCAGGUCAUGAUCUCGCGGUUCGUGGGUUCAAGCCCCGCGUCGGGCU
RNAcentral lists this transfer RNA (85 nucleotides) under Felis catus (domestic cat). It matches the Rfam family "tRNA". From Rfam's summary of the family: Transfer RNA (tRNA) molecules are approximately 80 nucleotides in length. Their secondary structure includes four short double-helical elements and three loops (D, anti-codon, and T loops). Lineage: Eukaryota; Metazoa; Chordata; Mammalia; Carnivora; Felidae. The record is from Rfam by way of RNAcentral.